UGCUAAACAUGCAGGUCCUGCGGAUGGAUGUAACACUCCAUGAGCGGCGGACGGGUGAAUAACACGUGGGUCACCUACCUUUUAGACGGAGAUAACGCCUGGAAACGGGUGCUAAUCCCGGAUGGGAUCUUUCUUCGCAUGAAGGAGGAAGGAAAGGCGCAAACAACCGCUGCUAAAAAAUGGGCCCGCGGCGCAUUACCUAGUUGGUGGGGUAAAGGCUCACCAAGGCGACAAUGCUUACCCAACCUGAGAGGGUGACCGGCCCCACUGGGACUGAGACACGGCCCAAACUCCUACGGGAGGCAGCAGUAGGGAAUCUUCCGCAAUGGGCAAAAGCCUGACGGAGCAACGCCUUGUGAGCGAAGACGGUCUUCGGAUUGUAAAGCUCUGUCUUUUGGGACAAGAGGCAUGAAAAGGGAAUGCUCGAUGUGAGACGGUACCAAAGGAGGAAGCCCCGGCUAACUACGUGCCACCAGCCGCGGUAAU
Molecule: ribosomal RNA, 486 nt
Filed under: uncultured bacterium
Lineage: Bacteria
Description: bacterial SSU rRNA
Rfam family: Bacterial small subunit ribosomal RNA
Source: RNAcentral